This 336-nucleotide long non-coding RNA is filed under the name Elaeis guineensis (African oil palm). RNAcentral describes it as "long non-coding RNA (EGUI_LNC032364)". The record is from RNAcentral. Lineage: Eukaryota; Viridiplantae; Streptophyta; Magnoliopsida; Arecales; Arecaceae.
GCAGUGAAUAUAACUAGCUACUUGAUAUUUAUUGGGAUAAAUUGGAUGCUAGAAGGAAUCUCGACAUCAUGACCCUAUAGUUAGUGAUAAGAGAAAGUAUUGAUUGACAUCAUUGAUUUUGACAUAUGCAUUGAAGAGAUGCCGGUGAAGAAAUUAUUGUUCGAGCUAAUAAAAGAAUUCCACUAUUCAAAUGUUGAUUCCUUAAAUUAUUUAUAUAUUGACGUUACUACGAUAAUGAUGUCAUUAGCUACUAUGGUGUAUCAUGACAUCAAUAAAUUUUGCAUUAUCAAUAUGAACUUUGCAAUGAGGGGAGUAUUGAGAUUCAUUAACAAGCCC